This 2504-nucleotide long non-coding RNA is filed under the name Androctonus crassicauda. Lineage: Eukaryota; Metazoa; Arthropoda; Arachnida; Scorpiones; Buthidae. The record is from RNAcentral.
AAAAUAUGUAUUUAUUAUAUUAAUUUUUAUGUAAACUGAAUUUUAAUUAAUAUAAAUAGAUUUUGCUCUUUUUGUUAAUGAAAAUAUUUAUAUAUUUAUAAUUAUUUCCUGAAAGGUUCAUAUGAAGUCUUCCUUACAUAAAUGGUUUUAUAAUAAAUGUGAAAAGUUAACUGUUCAUUGAGUUAGAAAAUAAUUAUUUAAAGCUUAAAAAUUGUCAUAUUUAUGGUUUCAGUAGGACUAUUUGUAAAAGUGAUCCUAAUCUUUCCAGACAGGCUUUAUGUCAUGUGUCUUCUGUAACACUCUAGUGGGUAAAUAAAUAAUUGUAUCUGCAACACUGCUUAAUAUAUAAGGUCAUAGGUCAUAAAUAAAAUAUCUUACCUAAUAAGAAAAUCACAUUAAUGAUGAUCGAGUUAAGGGAAAAAAACUUAUUCUCUAGAAUUAUAUAGAUGGAAAUGUUAUUUUUUAUCAUUAAUAAUAAAAAACUGUGUAUCUAUAUAUGUAUGCGAUCGCUGUUUUGUUUCGUAGAUCUGGAAGAUAUUCGGUCUCAUUUAUGCACGUUUGUAAUAUUGAUGUUAUAUGUUCAUUCAUUCUUAGUUAAUCGAUACUCAGUGUUUUUCUCCCUCUUAAUUUUCUCGUUGUUGCUAUCAGUUUGUAAUUUAUGUAUGUGCUCAUUAACUUUGUUGGCAUUUGUUUAUAUUUUGAUUUUUCUCUGUAUUUUCGGAGCUUCUGCAUAUCAUUUUUCGAGCUGUUUCGAUCUUCGUUUAUGCUGUAUUAUUAUUAUCAUCAUCAUCGUCGUGUAUUUUUAUGUUGUUUUAAUUUUCGGAAGAAUUUUUAUAUCUUUCUUUUUUAUCUAAGCGGUAAUCUAGAAACCAUCGAUAUCACGCUAAUUAAACACGAAAAAUGAUUGAUUAGCAUAGUUUCCAAAACGAAAACAGACCGUUUGACGUAGUUAACGUUUCUGAUAAUGUGUGAAAAAAGAAAAAUAAGCGAAGAAAAUCGGCGUUAUAAUUAUCUGACAUAACCGUUAUUUUAUUCGCGAGACAACAGUAGAUAUAAGUAUAUAUUAAAAAGAAUAAAAAAUAAAACUACUCCCGCUUAAAGAACUAUCAACAAAAGAUAUAAAAGGGGGAAUAGUUUGUCUUCUGGAGAUAAUAAUUAGUUAUUGCGUCUUACACAAAGUCCUUCUGCUAGUUUGAGAUAAGAUUGUGGUCAGAGAUAUCAGCUUUUCAAAGUCCAAAGAUAAACUCUCAGACCAACCAGAAAUCGUGAACCUGCUCUACCGGAAACAAUAGGAUAAGACACUAACCGCUCCUGAUACUGUACUGCCAUAUGGUUCGACGGUCUCCCACAAAGUUGCUUCAUUACGUAUUCCUGCAGCACAUUUCUGUUCGUUGCCUAUAAAAUCUGCUUGAUAUUUCGUAGUUUUAUGUCAGCAGACGUCGUUAAGUGCAUACCCAGCUUCAAAGAUUUGUUAAUGUCGAGUCGACACUUGGUUGCUACAAUCGACUAUACCCGAUGGUUUUAUUUUUUUUCUUUCUAUCAGCAAUUAAAUUUUGCUUAUCUGGGAUGGACCGGCCUGGUGUUUCGAUUGUCCGGCCUGUCAACCGGUGACUGUACGUUAUCACGUGAUCCAGAUAGCGCAGUAGUGUAAGUUUAAUCGUAUUAGUGGUGUUUUCCCAAGAAGCAGCCAUCCAUCCAUCACUUAACAAAAGAUUAUAUUAAGAUAUAAGAUUACUCUACUCUUAAUUACAUUUCGCAGUCGGAAGACCCGCUUUAAGCUUGUUAUACUUUGCCGAAUUUAUCACGAAUCCGACUAUAUUAAAGCACUCACUUUCUCUUCUCUCUCUCUUCUCUUCUAGCUAGGAUAGUAUACAAACAUUUUAAGAUAAGAAUCUUAUUUAUUGUCUAACAUUAUUUAUAGACUCGUCCUAUCUUUUCCCACACUUGACAUUUUUUGGUAAAGUUACGACAUUUAAGAAGUGUUAUUAUCGUUUUGGGAUUGAUCGAAUUCGCCAAAAACCAUACAAGAACCGGAAAAACAACGUAAAGACCGAACAAAAUCAAAGGGAAAAUAUAUAAAUAUAUAGGCCUAUAUAUAGAUGGAUAUUGAACGAAAAUAUUCCUUAAGAAUUAAUGCUUAAGAUGAGAGGUAUUUCCUGUUGACACGUUUUCAAUUUGUCCAAAAAAAUAUUCGAUUGGCAUAUUUUCUAUUUACCACGAAUUCCCACUCGACUGAAUGGGAGAGUGACAGGUAAUCACGUGACGCUAUCUGACAUCGCAUGCUCACUUUCAUUACUAUGGUAGCACAGCAGUCACGUGAUGUUCCUCGGCUUGACACAGACGUCAGUUUAUCUUGUCAAGUCGGAAUUGUAUGUCGGUGAGGAUGUUUGGUGACACAAUGACCAUUAAGUUGUUAAAGGAGAUUAGCCUGAUGCUAAGAGAGAUAAAUUACACCCAAUUUUCUUUUCUAUUAUAUAAAUAUAUAUAUACAUACAUAAACUUAC